GGUGAACGCUGGCGGCGUGCCUAACACAUGCAAGUCGAGCGAAGCGCCUUACUUGAUUUCUUCGGGAUGAAAGUAUUGUGACUGAGCGGGCGACGGGUGAGGUAACGCGUGGAUAACCUGCCUCAUACAGGGGGAUAACAGUUAGAAAUGACUGCUAAUACCGCAUAAGACCACAGCACCGCAUGGUGCAGGGGUAAAAACUCCGGUGGUAUGAGAUGGGUCCGCGUCUGAUUAGCUAGUUGGUAAGGUAACGGCUUACCAAGGCGACGAUCAGUAGCCGGUCUGAGAGGAUGAACGGCCACAUUGGGACUGAGAUACGGCCCAG
RNAcentral lists this ribosomal RNA (325 nucleotides) under uncultured bacterium. RNAcentral's name for it is "bacterial SSU rRNA". It matches the Rfam family "Bacterial small subunit ribosomal RNA", at positions 28 to 334 of the family's 1533-position model. The record is from RNAcentral.